RNAcentral lists this transfer RNA (113 nucleotides) under Candidatus Woesearchaeota archaeon. RNAcentral's name for it is "tRNA-Trp". Lineage: Archaea; Nanobdellati; Candidatus Woesearchaeota. The record is from RNAcentral.
GGGGACGUAGUAUAACCUGGCAGAAUAGGAGCCUCCAGAGCUUCGGAUCUGGGUUCAAAUAUCCCUGAGGGAGAUCACAAAUCCCUCUGGAUUUGAGUGUCCCAGCGUCCCCA